UCAGCUGUGUGACCUGGGGCAGGUCACUUACCUUCCCCAGGCCUUAGUUACCCCUGCAUAAAAUGAGAAGCCUGGAGUAAAUGGUCUUUAAGGCCUCUUCCAACCCAGGUAUACGACUAUAGCCUAAUGCCAGGUAUAGACGUAGUAGGUGUUCAGGAGAUGUUUAUUUAGUAAUUUAACGAUAAGAUUCAAGGCAAGAUUCUGCAGGUCCCAGCACCCAUAUACUUCCUCACUAUGAGUUUUGCCUCUGCUGUUAGUUAAUUUGUGUCCAGUGCCAGCUCAACAGGUAUUAAACCAAGCACCUGGGAUUUAUCCCGCUUACAAGCCAAUAAGCUAGCCUGCUGUUGUUUCAUAAAUGCUGGCAGAAGACGUGGCUUCCUGAGUCGGGCACAAAGAAUUUGCCACUCCUGGCACAGGGAGCAGGGUCCCCUGCUCACGGAGAUAGUUCGUGCGGCACAACUUCGUCAUCAGCCCCGCACCCAGAUUCGGCCGCCAACUGCCCGUCCUCGCUCCAGCCCUUCUCAAGACUGGUACCCUGAGAACAUUGAGAAUGUCCCUCCAGGAGCUGCUGAGGGAUGCUGAGAGGAAAGCCCCAGAAUUGGCACCAGAAGACCUAGUUUUGAAUCUUCACAUUGAUACUCGCUAGUUCUGUUUCUCUGAGCAAGUUACAUAACUUUUCUGGAUCCCUGUAAUAACAGCUGAGAAUAAAAUACGGGAAAGUAUA
Molecule: long non-coding RNA, 724 nt
Organism: Felis catus (domestic cat)
Lineage: Eukaryota; Metazoa; Chordata; Mammalia; Carnivora; Felidae
Exons: 3
Source: RefSeq, a predicted model, not a curated record